Molecule: long non-coding RNA, 660 nt
Filed under: Homo sapiens (human)
Lineage: Eukaryota; Metazoa; Chordata; Mammalia; Primates; Hominidae
Description: non-protein coding lnc-MEIOB-2:1
Source: RNAcentral
UUUUUUUUUUUUUGAGACUGUCUCACUCUGUUGCCCAGGCUGGAGUGCAGUAGGGCGAUCUUGGCUCACUGAAACUUUCACCUCCCGGAUUCAAGCAAUUCUCCUGCCUCAGCCUGCCGUCAAGUAUUGGUUCUUAGACUCCGUCUCAAAAAAAAAAGAAAAAAAAAAAGACAAGGUCUUGCUAUGUUGCCCAGGCUGGUCUCAAACUCCUGCCCUCAAGCAGUCCUCCCAUCUCAGGAGCCACCUGUGGAGGUCAUAUGGCCGGGGGACGGCCUCACUGUAGGCCGGGCCCUUCAUGGCUGCGGCCUUCUAAGGCGGUGCGGAGGCUGCUGGUGGUGGGGGCUGCCUCCCGUGCUUGUUACUGUGGCCUUGUCCCGACUGGCCUCACAGUGCGGGGUUUCACCCGGUGACUCGAUGUGGGCCUUGUACGGCUGGGAGGCCUCCUGGUGGGAGGUGGCAGCCCCAGCCUUGAACCCAGGUGGGAGUGACCCAGGGCCACACUCGGACCCCUGGGUGGAGUCAAACCAGGGGUGCAGGGAGAAGGUGUGGCCAGGGAGCCCCAGAGGAGGGCGGAGGGCAUGGCGGGAGGGACGGGCGCCUCGCUGUGAGGGAUAAGGUGCCUUCAGGCUGCAGUGCGCAGGGCUGGGGGAUGAGCCUGGG